GCCCUUUUCUUGGCGCAGUUUAGGACCUAUAUGACAGUUGCCGUCUUCGGGCGGCUAUGGCGAUAAACAGGCGAUGAAAUAAACCUAUUGGACCCGGGGGCGGUACCCGGCGCCUCCACCAAAAACCGGUCAGACAUGACUUACGUGUCAAGAAUGGCAGACCGGCUUUUGAUGGGGGCGAAAUAGGAUCGACAAGGGCGUAAAGAUCGACUUUUUGCUCGGCAUUGUACCACCGUUAUCGGGCUAAAAUUGUAGUUGCAAACGACAACUAUGCGGAAGCUCGUCUCGCUGCUUAAUCGCAGUGUGACACUUCAAAUCAAGCCCUUGCGGUUCGCACCGUAAGGCGGGGUUCGGAGGUACCUGGCAACAGAAACCUCCACU
This 381-nucleotide transfer-messenger RNA is filed under the name Rhizobium sp. RCAM05350. It matches the Rfam family "Alphaproteobacteria transfer-messenger RNA". Rfam says of the family: Bacterial tmRNA, also known as 10Sa RNA or SsrA, is named for its dual tRNA and mRNA-like properties. Its role is to liberate the mRNA from a stalled ribosome. To accomplish this part of the tmRNA is used as a reading frame that ends in a translation stop signal. The record is from RNAcentral. Lineage: Bacteria; Pseudomonadati; Pseudomonadota; Alphaproteobacteria; Hyphomicrobiales; Rhizobiaceae.